This is a long non-coding RNA of Gallus gallus (chicken), 3895 nucleotides long. The record is from Ensembl. Lineage: Eukaryota; Metazoa; Chordata; Aves; Galliformes; Phasianidae.
AUAUUUCAGGAGGAUUUGCUUUGGAUUAGUCUAGUCUAGUCCUGUGGAGUUCAUGUUCAUCAGUGACUGAAGUGUUGAAAGGGCACCCGUGAGAAGCUUCUUUCAGAUAAGGUCCAUUUUGAAAAGCAUUCACUUUGUGUUCUCUGAGACUGCUCAGCCAUAUGAACCAAAGCAGGAAGUGUUUCUUCAGAAGAAGGAGAAAUAGUCUACCAACUUGAGAGUGAGAAAAGAACAGCUGGUUGAACAGUACUUACCCAGUGUUGUGUCCAAGCAGCUGGAACCAGAGACUGGAAUCAGAAAACACACUGUCCACACCUGCUACACUGUGGACUGAAAUCUGUACAUCCAUACUUCUGCUGAGCAUGCAAAUAAAGAGAACAGCACAGACUAGCAUGAGAAGGUGAUCUUCCAUCUGGAGGACGUUUCCUGGGACAGGGACCAGUAGUCCCCUGAGGGACCGUGUUGCCAGAAGGCUGCUGGAGGAGUUGGAGUGUGGAGGAAGCAGCUGGAAAAUAAUCCAGAUGAUGAAAAGGCUGGGCUGUGCCAAGAGCUGCUGGGGCAGAAGGAACACUGCAACAGAGCUGCCAAGUGCAUUAACAGGUUUACAUGCGAAUAAAUAGGAAGCAUUACUUUCGGAGCAACCUACAUAUAUCGUAUGCUUGAAAAUGUAUCUUUCUUCUAAAAACAACUAGCAAAGGAGUACAGUGGGAAGACAAUGGGAAAGCAAAUGCCUCCAAACCUAAUGUAGCAGUGAAAACAUGGAAAUAAAAAGCUUCUUGAAUGUGUUCUUAUCAUAACGUGCCUGGGAUAGCAAGUGUUUCUUUGAAAAAACACUGAAAAUACGUUUGGACAGAAGACAGUUUGCACAGACAGAAAUCUGCACAGAACAGGAUCGCUGUGUUUCAUGGCAAUUGAAAGGUCUCUGAUGAAGAGUGCUGCAGUUCCUGCAAUCAGUAGCCAGGAAUGUGGUGUGGGACCAGUCAAAGGCAUACUGGAAUAGAAAUGUGUGCAUCGCAGAGUUGUGAUGGGCUACCACAGCUGUAAAAGAACAGUGCUGUAUCUGACUCUUCAUUCUGGUCCCACAAGAUCUUAGCUGGAUGUUGGUGGUAUUGCAGUAGAGUUUGAGCCUUCUCAUCAAUAUUCCGUUACAUUUUGUUGCCAUGUGACAGAUGGCAGCAGAGGGGCAGUCUGACAUAGUGGUGUCUAACAUGGAGUGCAUGUGAAGCAAAGAAUGAAUUUCUCCAUGCAGAAAAAACUGCACCCACUGGUAAUCAUCAACACUUGAUGAACAUUUAUGGAGACCAAGCAGUGGAUGUGAGCACAGUGAGGCGGUAGGUGGUGCAUUUCAGCAAUGGUAGCAGCAAUAGUAUGUCACCUCCGUUUGUGCAGAUUUUUAUGAGUGCAGCAUGCAGGCUCUUGUUCACUGUGGCCAAAAUGCACAGCUACUGGUGAUGACUGUGCUGGAAAUUUUUUUGUAACUGAGAAUUUGCUCUAUCAAGUGGUAUAAAUAUCAAAUGCUAUUGUGUUCUCUAUAUCCGUUGUAGUUUCCAUGGAAAUAAACAAGAGGCAUUACUUUGGAGUGAUCUACGUACGUAUUAAAGAAUCCCAUAUAUAUGAAAAUCAUAGGAAGUCCUCAAAGACAGAGACCAAAUAUAUGAAUUUAGUGUUUAAUUCCUCACUUUCUUGAAUUUUUGCCCCAGUGCUCCAUGAGAAUAAUGGGUAAGGGAGAAGAGUUCAGCUGUAACAGAUCCCGGAGGUAUGUAAGCCUCCUAAAACAGUUUUUCAUGAGCAAAAGCACUUUAAUGAGAAUUGUAAAAUGAAUGAUUACAGGAAUGCUACUGAUUCAAUCUGAAAUUAAUGCUAAUAGGAUUUAUUCUGUCAGUGAUAUUCAUUGUUAUCAACUGAGAUGUGCUUGAAAACAUUGUCUAUUGUAAUCUUGGAUGGAAAUCUUCAUGUGUCAUCCUCCUUUAGUUCCUGAUUCAGCAAAUCAGUUAGAACACACCUAAUUCUGAAUAAAAUUUUAAAUUUCACUGACUUCAGUAAGAAACAAAUAUCUGCUUUGUAUUAAGCACUUUUUAAAGGGUUUUUGCUAAUGUUACUUCCAACUGGCUUCCUUUUCUUUAGGGUUUGGCAGUCCAGUACUGUCUAAUUUAUUGCUUGUCAUACAACACAUCUUUCAUAACUACCUUUCAUGUUCCUUUGUUGUUCAGAUGUGUACUGGUGCUAUAAAUAAUGCUGUGUGUGAGUUUUAAAGAACAACUGCAAAUACCAUUGUGUGUUGUCAUUACAUUUGUGAAGGUUGAAGUUUAAUAAUUAUAUGAGGCACUAACUAAUGUUUGCAUUAUAUGUAAUAUGUCUUCAAUUCACUUGCAUUAUUUUUGCUUUUGCUAAGGGAAAAGGUGUUAUUGAAUGAAUUAGUUAUUUGAAAACACUGAAGAGGGUGUUUGCUUUAGAGCUGCAAAGGCUUCAGGCUUUUAAAGCUGUGACUGUUUCCUGAACAGAGGCUUGUCUUGCUUUGCUUCCGUCUAUUGCAAAGUCCCUCUGGGUGGAAAACUCAAGUGGAAUUGCUGCGAUGCUCACCUACAAUUGCAGGAGGGACUGUGACUUUCAGGCUUCUGGCAGCUGAGAACAGCAUCCUUGUAAAUGUAGAUGGGCUUAGGGCAGCAUUGCAAUUGCUCUUCGUUAGCUCGUGUUCUCUCAUUCUUCCUGUUGACUUGCAGGAUCUGUGCUGUAAGCACCUAACUCCUCCAGCAUACUACAUGUAGAGCCUACCUGCUGAAUCAGUGCCAUCUGUUGCAUUAGCUGGUGCCAUAUUGGUGAUGGAUAACUGAGAUGGAAAAGCUAAGUCCUGGUGAAUUCAUAAUUGCCCCAGUAAGGUUGCUUUUAUCACUGUACUCAGUAGAAUAUAUAAAUGACCAGAUGCUCCCAGUAAAACCCCUCAUUUAGGAGACACUGCCAUUUAUGGCAUGGACAAGUUAUAGGCAGUAAAAUGGAUCAUUAGCAACUGAGAGGCAGAACUUGAAAAAACAGCUGCUAGUGAAGUAGAAGGCAGGAUCCUUUUUUAUCAAAAGACAGGAAUUUAUUUGAAGUACUGGAUCUAAUACACCUCAGGCUCAGCGUGUUUCUUCUGAAUCCCAAGCAGUUCCUGCAGAAACACACCAGAGCUCACAGAGCCUCUGAAUUUAGUAAGCCAAAGGAUCGUGAAGUUUUGGUUCUUGACAGACAGUUUCUCUCUUUGGGCCAUUUAUCAAUUUGUGCAAAAGUUUGGAAAGGUGAAUUGGAAGACUGGGAGUGAAGAGAAGUCUCCAUGAGCUAGAAGACCCACUUUUUAACUUUCUCCACUUUAAGUUAGGAUACUGAAAUAUGUCUGUGUAGCAGCUGGGAAUACCUGAAGAUGCCACUAUGUUCCUGGAUACGAGACAGCAGAAAAUUCAGUGAUAUAGAUGAACCACUCAGUAGUGCGACUAAUACCAUGUUGAGCUUUUUGGAGUUUGUUGUUGGUUUUAUCCUUCCUCCAAGACUUUACUGAAACUAAAAGGGUGGGACUGGUGUGUCAGACACCUGUAAUCAUCUCAAGAGACCCUUCCUGCAGCCUCUGACCUCUGCAGGGGAUUUCCUUCUCAUUCUUGUGGAUAACACAUGGAGCUCUUGGCCCCAGAGGGCUUUGAUAAGCUCCCCUGUUCUGUGAGAAAUGCCAGCAAAGCCAGUCUUGCUAUUUGUACAGGAUAGAAGGGGCUUAUGAGCUGAAUAUACUUAGAGAAGAACCCAAAUGCAAUAGUGACAAAUGCUUUUAAAGCUUUUAUUUGAAGAUGGCUUUUAAAGAUGAAUAACAUUAAAUAAUAUAGGAGAUCCCUCAUGUGUGUGCAUCAAUAAAAAGUUCUGUUGCAUUUCAGUG